UGCCAGCCGCCGCGGUAAUACGGAAGGUGCAAGCGUUACUCGGAAUCACUGGGCGUAAAGCGUCCGCAGGCUUUUUGGUUAGUCUGAUGUAAAAGCACGGAGCUCAACUCCGUGUACGUGUCGGAAACUGCCAGAAUAGAGUCAUACAGAGGCAUCUGGAAUUUCGUGUGUAGGGGUAAAAUCCGUUGAUCCACGAAGGAACGCCAAAAGCGAAGGCAGGGUGCUGGGUAUGUACUGACGCUCAGGGACGAAAGCGUGGGGAGCAAACAGGAUUAGAUA
Molecule: ribosomal RNA, 279 nt
Filed under: uncultured bacterium
Lineage: Bacteria
Description: partial 16S ribosomal RNA
Rfam family: Bacterial small subunit ribosomal RNA
Source: RNAcentral